RNAcentral lists this ribosomal RNA (465 nucleotides) under Vreelandella stevensii. RNAcentral describes it as "partial 16S ribosomal RNA". It matches the Rfam family "Bacterial small subunit ribosomal RNA", at positions 338 to 795 of the family's 1533-position model. Lineage: Bacteria; Pseudomonadati; Pseudomonadota; Gammaproteobacteria; Oceanospirillales; Halomonadaceae. The record is from RNAcentral.
CCUACGGGAGGCAGCAGUGGGGAAUAUUGGACAAUGGGCGAAAGCCUGAUCCAGCCAUGCCGCGUGUGUGAAGAAGGCCUUCGGGUUGUAAAGCACUUUCAGUGGGGAAGAAAGCCUUGGGGCUAAUACCCUCGAGGAAGGACAUCACCCACAGAAGAAGCACCGGCUAACUCCGUGCCAGCAGCCGCGGUAAUACGGAGGGUGCGAGCGUUAAUCGGAAUUACUGGGCGUAAAGCGCGCGUAGGCGGUCUGAUAAGCCGGUUGGGAAAGCCCCGGGCUCAACCUGGGAACGGCAUCCGGAACUGUCAGGCUAGAGUGCAGGAGAGGAAGGUAGAAUUCCCGGUGUAGCAGUGAAAUGCGUAGAGAUCGGGAGGAAUACCAGUGGCGAAGGCGGCCUUCUGGACUGACACUGACGCUGAGGUGCGAAAGCGUGGGUAGCAAACAGGAUUAGAUACCCCAGUAGUC